CUUGUCCGGGGCCUUGGCCCAGGGAGAAAAGCGCUGUUCCGCGUGGGAACGUGUGGAACGUUUACAGCUACCGUAAGAGGGGAGCUGAAGGGUGACCGCCAAGGGUAGUGUGCGCCCCACCUCGGGAAGCUGGGCAGAGAGGAGCCCCGGGGCCCACGGGGGCAUCCUUUACUCAAAGUCCGGGCUCACCCAGGAACAGGACCAGAGACAUUCCCGUACAUCCCAGAACUUUCCGGGGCCUCGUCGGUCUUAUCUCCAAGCUCUGCCAGCCUGCCGUGCUCAUGCACCCAGAGGGAGAUCUGCACCAACCCCUCAGAACAAUAGCUUGCUGAGUGACCCUGAGUCAUCUGGAGCAGGUCACAUUGUGCCAGCCUGUGUAAGACUGCGUGAGUAAUGCCAUUGUGAAAGUUUUCCCUGAAAAAGAAGUGAAAUAGUACUAAAAAUAAUAAUCAUGAAAAGUCAAGCCACUUAGUCAAAAAGAAAGAACUAGAAUGCACCUCAGAGAACUUGAGUCUACCUCCUCACCUGGCAAGUAGAGAAACUGAGGCCUGGAGAGUAGGAAGGUUGUUUGAAGAGCAGAACCGGA
This 586-nucleotide long non-coding RNA is filed under the name Felis catus (domestic cat). RNAcentral's name for it is "lncRNA (ENSFCAG00000051512.1)". The record is from RNAcentral. Lineage: Eukaryota; Metazoa; Chordata; Mammalia; Carnivora; Felidae.